Molecule: ribosomal RNA, 253 nt
Filed under: uncultured bacterium
Lineage: Bacteria
Description: partial 16S ribosomal RNA
Rfam family: Bacterial small subunit ribosomal RNA
Source: RNAcentral
UACGUAGGGGGCUAGCGUUGUCCGGAAUCAUUGGGCGUAAAGCGCGCGUAGGCGGCCCAGUAAGUCCGUUGUAAAAGUCAAAGGCUCAACCUUUGAAAGCCGAUGGAUACUGCUGGGCUAGAGUCCGGAAGAGGCGAGUGGAAUUCCUGGUGUAGCGGUGGAAUGCGUAGAGAUCAUGAGGAAGACCAGUGGCGAAGGCGGGUCUCUGGACAGUUCCUGACACUGAGACACGAAGGCCAGGGGAGCAAACGGG